Oreochromis aureus is the source of this 1232-nucleotide long non-coding RNA. The record is from Ensembl. NCBI's taxonomy places the organism in Eukaryota, Metazoa, Chordata, Actinopteri, Cichliformes, Cichlidae.
GCUGGACAUGACCGCAAACACGCCCCCCUACACUUUUUACGUAGCCCGGCUGCUCGAGUGUUUUUGCUGGUUUACCACGACUGACGACUCGUUUAAUUAAGAGUCCAUAUUAUAUCAACAGCUACAAUCACCCUGGAGAGAAACUAGUGAGGGAGACCAUCAGGACCAAGCUGGGUUUCCUGGGUCCAGAGGUUUGGAGAAACUUCUUCCCUUUCUUUCAUCACAGCUGUCCUGUGCCAGAAGUUCUGUUGACCCGCUGUAAGAGGCAUCAUUUAAGAAACACCAGGAAGACUGAAGCUCAUCGCAUUGAUCAAGCAGGAUUCAUGAUCUUCACUAGCAGCUCCCUCACAGGGAAAUCUUCAGCACUCCUCCAUAGGCCCGAUCCAGGACAUGGAUAAACCCCAGCAUUUCAUGAACACUGUGAUGGAGACCUUUGCUUUGUGUAAUGUUAUAAAUACUCGGAUUCUCCCCAGAGGCUCCAGACUUUUACAUAAAGAUAUUAUAUUCAGUCCUGUAGAAAGUUAUAUAUUUAAAAAUAUGUGAUCCUCUCUGGUUACUCUGGUAUGAAUAACUCUGAAUCACUUUAUGGUAAAUAACACACUAUCUGCAAAAACUGUGAAAGAAUUCCAGAUGACAAGUUUGUAGUUCAACAUACAAGUGACGACCUUUGACCUUCAUCAGGUUUUAUUUAAGUGUGUUAGAGAAAAUCUCAUAUGCUCUUCAUGCAGCUGAGUACAUCAAGUGUUUAAAACGGAAGCUGUGCUGGUCUGAGAUACAAACUGAGGUCCUGUCAAUACUGAUAUAUAGUGACACAGUUACAUGAGUGAUUAAUCCUUUUGUUUUUUGUCCUUAAGUUUAUCAAUAAAGCUGCAGCUUUCACUACAGCACGUGUGGUAUUUUAACCUUUGUACUGUUUUCAUCAGUUCAUUUUGCAGUGAACAUGUUGGAUGAUCUGUCUGCUGUCACUGGAUGGUGCUGAGGUCUGAAUCUGAGGGCAGCCCCUGUAAUCACAAAGCGAACAGAACCAUCAAACUCGGAUAUAAAUUUUAUCCCUCAAAAUUGAAAUAAAGCUGAUUCUUCUGUCCUCACACACUCAGGAUCUGAAGUUCUUCUCUUACAUUUUUUCAGUAUUACAGUACACUACAGUACUUUAAUCCAUAGUUCCUGAUUAAUGAGGAGUUACUGAAGUACAAGCUUUUUAAAAAAAAUGUUACUGUCUUUACAGAUGUGGC